AUGAGUACCGAGUCCAGGAACGGGAGCGACAUCGACCCGGAGAACGUCAUCGCCGUCACACUCGACGAUCUGUCGGAAGAUGAUCGGCGCGAGCUUGAACAAGAGCUAAAGAAAGAGAUGGUUGAGCGACUAAAAUUGAAGUUGACUGGAUACCUUAAGACAAGGAUCGGCGUCGUCAAGAAGGUACAUGUGCCGAACCCUUCAGAUUCGAUCAACACCGAGGUAAAAAAGUCAAUCGAAGAAAUUUCUCAUUUAAUUGAUGUGUGCGUAGCUACCAAGUAUGAUUCUGAUGUGAAAUCUACGACACAUACAAUUACUCAAUCAGUAGCUAAUAGAAUUGAAGAAUUUAAGGAGCAGCUUCAUAAAGAUCUUGGAAAUAAUUUACCUAGUCAUGUUCGGUCGUUAGUGCUGCAAAUCAAUGAUGGAUAUUCUGAGGAAAAGUUGAUGCCGCUGCAAAAUACAGGAUUCAUUAACUUUCCUAGUAAUAUUCAUAUACAUAGUGCAUCGGUUAAUAACGUUGUGCAGCCCAAUGUUCCUUUAAAUAGCGAUCAAGGUGGCCGGAACUAUGUGAACAGUUCGGCUAAUAAUUUUAUGCCUAGCGUAGCUGCUCCUACUGUCUCAACUUCGGUUCCGCAAAAUUACAACAGCAAUAACCGAAGUGCUAGUUCUAAUUCUACUUUUCAAUGA
This 687-nucleotide ribosomal RNA is filed under the name Triticum aestivum (bread wheat). Its description in RNAcentral is "partial small subunit ribosomal RNA". Lineage: Eukaryota; Viridiplantae; Streptophyta; Magnoliopsida; Poales; Poaceae. The record is from RNAcentral.